Molecule: unclassified non-coding RNA, 338 nt
Filed under: soil metagenome
Description: partial contains 5.8S ribosomal RNA, internal transcribed spacer 2, and large subunit ribosomal RNA
Rfam family: 5.8S ribosomal RNA (bases 2-121)
Source: RNAcentral
GGAUGAAGAACGUAGCGAAAUGCGAUAAGUAAUGUGAAUUGCAGAAUUCAGUGAAUCAUCGAAUCUUUGAACGCACAUUGCGCCCGGCAGUACUCUGCCGGGCAUGCCUGUUCGAGCGUCAUUUCAACCCUCAAGCCCUGCUUGGUGUUGGGGCCCUGCGGCUGCCGCAGGCCCUGAAAGGAAGUGGCGGGCUCGCUACAACUCCGAGCGUAGUAAUUCAAUAUCUCGCUUAGGGCGUUGGGCGGCGCUCCUGCCGUUAAAGACCAUCUUUAACUCAAGGUUGACCUCGGAUCAGGUAGGAAUACCCGCUGAACUUAAGCAUAUCAAUAAGCGGAGGA